CUCGUAGGCGGUUCGUCACGUCGGGAGUGAAAACUCGGAGCUUAACUCCGAGCCUGCUUCCGAUACGGGCAGACUAGAGGUAGGCAGGGGAGAGCGGAACUCCUGGUGUAGCGGUGGAAUGCGCAGAUAUCAGGAAGAACACCGGUGGCGAAGGCGGCUCUCUGGGCCUUACCUGACGCUGAGGAGCGAAAGCGUGGGUAGCGAACAGGAUUAGAUACCCUGGUAGUCCACGCCGUAAACGUUGGGCGCUAGGUGUGGGGGACAUUCCACGUCCUCCGUGCCGCAGCUAACGCAUUAAGCGCCCCGCCUGGGGAGUACGGCCGCAAGGCUAAA
This 333-nucleotide ribosomal RNA is filed under the name uncultured Kribbella sp. RNAcentral describes it as "bacterial SSU rRNA". It matches the Rfam family "Bacterial small subunit ribosomal RNA", at positions 568 to 898 of the family's 1533-position model. Lineage: Bacteria; Bacillati; Actinomycetota; Actinomycetes; Propionibacteriales; Kribbellaceae. The record is from RNAcentral.